RNAcentral lists this unclassified non-coding RNA (640 nucleotides) under Hevea brasiliensis (rubber tree). The record is from RNAcentral. Lineage: Eukaryota; Viridiplantae; Streptophyta; Magnoliopsida; Malpighiales; Euphorbiaceae.
GCUAAUCCCCAUCUGUUAAAAGCACAAAAUAUUAUUGCUGAGAUUGAUCACAUCAGCCUAAGGGAAAUAAAUGUAAAUAAUAAAGACGCAUUUUUUGAAAUUGCACUAGGCAUGAGUACAGAGAAUAUGAGAUCUUCAACUAUAAUGUAUUCCAUUCUGGUAAAUUUUAUUUCAUUUUUUUUAGGGAGGGUAAAUUUGAUGGUUUCUAAUGCAUAGUUGGUCAUAUUGAGUUAUUUAUCAUUCCAUCAGGAGAUAACACUGUAGAUUAAUCCAAAUUAAGCACAAGAAUACUGCAAGAGACAGCUGCAAUUAGAUAUAUUCUUAGGUAGACUCAGUCCACCACAUCAUUCAUUAUGAUAAUAUAAUCAUAGAUAAACAUGAGAUUUAAUUUUCAAUUAUCCUUCCAUAUUUGUAUAAUUAUAAAUAAAAAUGUGGUUUGAUUUUUAGUUAUUCUUAAAAUAUGGAUGAUGUAGAGUGAUUUGAAUAGCUUAAUUUACGGAUGACUUGGUAGACUGAAUCUACCUAAAAAUCUCUCAUAGCUUCAUGGGCAAAACAUAUAAAUACUACAUUAGUAUAUUGUAGAGGCUAUGUAUCAUAAUCCAAAUCCAAUGCAUACCUGGAGGGAAACUAAAAUAUUUGG